RNAcentral lists this transfer RNA (92 nucleotides) under Candidatus Nomurabacteria bacterium. RNAcentral describes it as "tRNA-Ser". It matches the Rfam family "tRNA". From Rfam's summary of the family: Transfer RNA (tRNA) molecules are approximately 80 nucleotides in length. Their secondary structure includes four short double-helical elements and three loops (D, anti-codon, and T loops). The record is from RNAcentral. Lineage: Bacteria; Candidatus Nomuraibacteriota.
GGAGAGGUGGCCGAGCGGUUGAAGGCGCACGCUUGGAAAGCGUGUAUGCGGGGCAACUCGUAUCUGGGGUUCGAAUCCCCAUCUCUCCGCCA